UGUGAAACCAAUGGUGGUGGAGGUCCCAAAGGAGGUGGCGGUGGUGGCAGUGAUGAAACAGGAGGUGGAGGCGGAGGUGGUGGAGGUGAAGGAGAUGAAGGAGGUGGUGGCGGUGGCGGUGGCGGCGGCGGCGGUGAUGGAGGCAAAGGUGGCAGUGGAGGAGGAGAUUCUGGAGGCAAAGGUGGGGAGCCCUCGGGUAAAGGGGGCAACUCACUAUAAUUAUUUGAAGCUGGAUGCAAGAUCCUAUCUGAGCCACUCCUUUGAUCAGUUUCAAAAGAACCACUUUCAUCCUUUUGGUGUCCAGAAACAUCUUCCAUUUCAAGUUCACCAUCCACAUCCUCUAAGAUGCAAUGACGCCUAUCAUUUGGAG
This 370-nucleotide long non-coding RNA is filed under the name Citrus sinensis (sweet orange). RNAcentral's name for it is "long non-coding RNA (CSIN_LNC002940)". Lineage: Eukaryota; Viridiplantae; Streptophyta; Magnoliopsida; Sapindales; Rutaceae. The record is from RNAcentral.